This 446-nucleotide ribosomal RNA is filed under the name uncultured bacterium. Its description in RNAcentral is "partial 16S ribosomal RNA". It matches the Rfam family "Bacterial small subunit ribosomal RNA", at positions 338 to 795 of the family's 1533-position model. The record is from RNAcentral.
CCUACGGGGUGCAGCAGUCGAGAAUCAUUCACAAUGGGGGAAACCCUGAUGGUGCGACGCCGCGUGGGGGAAUGAAGGUCUUCGGAUUGUAAACCCCUGUCAUGUGGGAGCAAAUUAAAAAGAUAGUACCACAAGAGGAAGAGACGGCUAACUCUGUGCCAGCAGCCGCGGUAAUACAGAGGUCUCAAGCGUUGUUCGGAAUCACUGGGCGUAAGGCGUGCGUAGGCUGUUUCGUAAGUCGUGUGUGAAAGGCGCGGGCUCAACCCGCGGACGGCACAUGAUACUGCGAGACUAGAGUAAUGGAGGGGGGACCGGAAUUCUCGGUGUAGCAGUGAAAUGCGUAGAUAUCGGGAGGAACACUCGUGGCGAAGGCGGGUUCCUGGACAUUAACUGACGCUGAGGCACGAAGGCCAGGGGAGCGAAAGGGAUUAGAUACCCGAGUAGUC